Small nuclear RNA from Grammomys surdaster, 104 nucleotides. Lineage: Eukaryota; Metazoa; Chordata; Mammalia; Rodentia; Muridae. The record is from RefSeq and is a predicted model, not a curated record.
UGCUGACUUCGGCCGCACAAAUACUAAAUUGGAACGACGCAGAGAUGUUUAGCAUGGCCCUGUGCAAGGAUGACCAUCAAAUUUGUGAAGUGUUCCAUGUUUUU